CAAUCAUUUGAGAAACCAAGGCUGUCGAGUCUGCCAAUAAGAAUGUUGUGAUUGACAGAGUUGAAAGCCUUGGCCAGGUCGAUCAAUACGGCUGCACAGUAAUGUCUCUUAUCGAUGGCGGUUAUGAUGUCGUUUAGAACCUUGAGCGUGGCUGAGGUGCACCCAUGACCAGCUCUGAAACCAGAUUGCUUAGCAGAGAGGGUAUGGUAAGAUUCGAAAUGGUCGGUAAUCUGUUUGUUGACUUGGCUUUCGAAAACCUUAGAAAGGCAGGGUAGGAUAGAUAUUGGUCUGUAGCAGUUUAGGUCAAGAGUGUCUCCCCCUUUGAAGAGGGGGAUGACAGCGGCAGCUUUCCAAUCUUUGGAAAUCUCAGACGAUACGAAAGAGAGGUUGGACAGGCUAGUAAUAGGGGUGGCAACAAUUUCGGCAGAUCAUUUUAGAAAGAAAGGGUCCAGAUUGUCUAGCCCGGCUGAUUUGUAGCGGUCCAGAUUUUGCAGCUCUUUCAGAACAUCAGCUGACUGGAUUUGGGAGAAGGAGAAAUGGGGAAGGCUUGGGUGAGUUGCUGUGGGGGGGUGCAGUGCUGUUGACCGGGGUAGGGGUAGCCAGGUGGAAAGCAUGGCCAGCCGUAGAAAAAUGCUUAUUGAAAUUCUCAAUUAUAGUGGAUUUAUCGGUGGUGACAGUGUUUCCUAUCUUCAGUGCAGUGGUCAGCUGGGAGGAGGUGUUCUUAUUCUCCAUGGACUUUACAGUGUCACGGAACUUUUUUGAGUUAGUGUUGCAGGAAGCAAAUUUCUGCUUGGAUAAGCUAGCCUUGGCUUUUCUAACUGCCUGUGUAUAAUGGUUUCUAGCUUCCCUGAAAAGCUGCAUAUCACAGGGGCUGUUCGAUGCUAAUGCAGAACGCCAUAGGAUGUUUUAGUGUUGGUUAAGGGCAGUUAGGUCUGGGGAGAACCAAGGGCUAUAUCUGUUCCUGGUUCUAAAUUUCUUGAAUGGAGCAUGCUUAAUUAAGAUGGUUAGGAAGGCAUUCAAAAAAAAUAACCAGGCAUCCUCUACUGACGGGAUGAGAUCAAUAUCCUUCCAGGAUACCCCGGCCAGGUUGAUUAGAAAGGCCUGCUCGCUGAAGUGUUUCAGGGAGCAUUUGACAGUAAUGAGUGGAGGUCGUUUGACCGCUGACCCAUUACGGAUGCAGGCAAUGAGGCAGCGAUCGCUGAGAUCUUGGUUGAAGACAGCAGAGGUGUAUUUAGAGGGCAAGUUGGUUAGGAUGAUAUCUAUGAGGGUGUCCAUGUUUACGGCUUUGGGGAGGUAGCUGGUAGGUUCAUUGAUAAUUUGUGUGAGAUUGAGGGCAUCAAGCUUAGAUUGUAGGAUGGCUGGGUUGUGAAGCAUGUUCCAGUUUAGGUCGCCUAGCAGCACGAGCUCUGAAGAUAAAUGGGAGGCAAUCAGUUCACAUAUGGUGUCCAGAGCACAGCUGGGGGCGAGUGGUUUAUAGCAGGCGGCAACAGUGAGAGACUUGUUUUUAGAAAGGUGGAUUUUUAAAAGAAGUUCAAAUUGUUUGGGUCCAGACGUGGAUAUUAGGACAGAACUUGGCUGUUCUAUCUUGUCUGAAAAUGUUGUAGUUAGGGAUGAAAAUUUCUGAAUUUUUGGUGGUCUUCCUAAGCCAGGAUUCAGACACAGCUAGAACAUCCGGGUUGGCAGAGUGUGCUAAAGCAGUGAAUAACACAAACUUAGGGAGGAGGCUUCUAAUGUUAACAUGCAUGAAACCAAGGCUAUUACGGUUACAGAAGUCAUCAAAAGAGAGCGCUUGGGGAAUAGGAGUGGAGCUAGGCACUGCAGGGCCUGGAUUCUCCUCUACAUCACCAGAGGAAAAGAGGAGAAGUAGGAUAAGGGUACGGCUAAAAGCAAUGAGAAUUGGUCGUCUAGAACGUCUGGAACAGAGAGUAAAAGGAGGUUUCUGGGGGCGAUAAAAUAGCUUCAAGGUAUAAUGUACAGACAAAGGUAUGGUAGGAUGUGAAUACAGUGGAGGUAAACCUAGGUAUUGAGUGAUGAUGAGAGAGAUAUUGUCUCUAGAAACAUCAUUGGAACCAGGAGAUGUCAUCGCAUGUGUGGGUGGUGGAACUAAUAGGUUGGAUAAGGUAUAGUGAGCAGGACUAGAGGCUCUACAGUGAAAUAAGCCAAUAAACACUAACCAGAACAGCAAUGGACAAGGCAUAUUGACAUUAAGGAGAGGCAUGCUUAGUCGAGUGAUCAAAAGGGUCUAGUGAGUUGUGAGGUUGGUUGGGGUCUAGGCGAUUCAGACAGCUAGCUGGGCCAUCGGUAGAAAGCUAGCAUAGGAUGGAGGUCUGUUUUUAGCCACCUCGUGCGUUUCCGUCGGUAGGAUUAGUGGGGUUCCGUGUGGUAGAGGGGAUCAAUCCAAUUCGCAAAAAAAAAAAAAAUUUAGUUAUAGAGGCCCAAGAAGAAAAAAAUAUUUUAAAAAAUGUAAAAAAUGUUUGAGCAUGGUGUGUUUAUUCAAGUUACGCCGUUUUUUUCUCCAUCAACAAGGGUUACGAUUUCGAAUGUACCACCGUUUAUUCCCAAUGAGCUAUUGGAGCACAAGUUAUUGUGGUUUGGCCCAGCUCUGAAACAGGUGAUGUUGUUUCGGCGACAGGUGUUUAUGUUUUUGAGCUCACCGGAGCAGACUUUGGAGUUAUCCUUUAAUGUCAAGUAUGACAACAGACUGUAUAUGGCUAGUACAGGAAUAUGCUAGUACAGGAAGUAUAUAUAUAUAUGCUAGUACAGGAAGUCAACAGUGUUUUGAGUGUGGGGAUGUUGGACAUAAGCCAUAAGGGUUCAGGUGGAGCUAGGCUCCCAGGUAGUGGAGGAGAUGUCCAUUUUGAGUAAUGGGGUUCAGGUGGAGCUAGUCUCCCAGGUAGUGGAGGAGAUGUCCAUUAUGAGUAAUGGGGUACAGGAGGGGGUUCAGGUGGAGCUAGUCUCCCAGGUCGUGGAGGAGAUGUCCACUAUGGGUAAUGAAGUACAGGAGGGGGUUCAGGUGGAGCUAGUCUCCCAGGUAGUGGAGGAGAUGUCCAUUAUGAGUAAUGGGGUACAGGAGGGGGUUCAGGUGGAGCUAGUCUCCCAGGUCGUGGAGGAGAUGCCCAUUAUGAGUAAUGGGGUACAGGAGGGGGUUCAGGUGGAGCUAGUCUCCCAGGUCGUGGAGGAGAUGCCCA
Molecule: long non-coding RNA, 3188 nt
Organism: Oncorhynchus tshawytscha (Chinook salmon)
Lineage: Eukaryota; Metazoa; Chordata; Actinopteri; Salmoniformes; Salmonidae
Source: Ensembl